UCGAGCGACGGACGAGAAGCUUGCUUCUCUGAUGUUAGCGGCGGACGGGUGAGUAACACGUGGAUAACCUACCUAUAAGACUGGGAUAACUUCGGGAAACCGGAGCUAAUACCGGAUAAUAUUUUGAACCGCAUGGUUCAAAAGUGAAAGACGGUCUUGCUGUCACUUAUAGAUGGAUCCGCGCUGCAUUAGCUAGUUGGUAAGGUAACGGCUUACCAAGGCAACGAUGCAUAGCCGACCUGAGAGGGUGAUCGGCCACACUGGAACUGAGACACGGUCCAGACUCCUACGGGAGGCAGCAGUAGGGAAUCUUCCGCAAUGGGCGAAAGCCUGACGGAGCAACGCCGCGUGAGUGAUGAAGGUCUUCGGAUCGUAAAACUCUGUUAUUAGGGAAGAACAUAUGUGUAAGUAACUGUGCACAUCUUGACGGUACCUAAUCAGAAAGCCACGGCUAACUACGUGCCAGCAGCCGCGGUAAUACGUAGGUGGCAAGCGUUAUCCGGAAUUAUUGGGCGUAAAGCGCGCGUAGGCGGUUUUUUAAGUCUGAUGUGAAAGCCCACGGCUCAACCGUGGAGGGUCAUUGGAAACUGGAAAACUUGAGUGCAGAAGAGGAAAGUGGAAUUCCAUGUGUAGCGGUGAAAUGCGCAGAGAUAUGGAGGAACACCAGUGGCGAAGGCGACUUUCUGGUCUGUAACUGACGCUGAUGUGCGAAAGCGUGGGGAUCAAACAGGAUUAGAUACCCUGGUAGUCCACGCCGUAAACGAUGAGUGCUAAGUGUUAGGGGGUUUCCGCCCCUUAGUGCUGCAGCUAACGCAUUAAGCACUCCGCCUGGGGAGUACGACCGCAAGGUUGAAACUCAAAGGAAUUGACGGGGACCCGCACAAGCGGUGGAGCAUGUGGUUUAAUUCGAAGCAACGCGAAGAACCUUACCAAAUCUUGACAUCCUUUGACAACUCUAGAGAUAGAGCCUUCCCCUUCGGGGGACAAAGUGACAGGUGGUGCAUGGUUGUCGUCAGCUCGUGUCGUGAGAUGUUGGGUUAAGUCCCGCAACGAGCGCAACCCUUAAGCUUAGUUGCCAUCAUUAAGUUGGGCACUCUAAGUUGACUGCCGGUGACAAACCGGAGGAAGGUGGGGAUGACGUCAAAUCAUCAUGCCCCUUAUGAUUUGGGCUACACACGUGCUACAAUGGACAAUACAAAGGGCAGCGAAACCGCGAGGUCAAGCAAAUCCCAUAAAGUUGUUCUCAGUUCGGAUUGUAGUCUGCAACUCGACUACAUGAAGCUGGAAUCGCUAGUAAUCGUA
This 1302-nucleotide ribosomal RNA is filed under the name Staphylococcus sp. ALBL_129. Its description in RNAcentral is "bacterial SSU rRNA". It matches the Rfam family "Bacterial small subunit ribosomal RNA", at positions 62 to 1346 of the family's 1533-position model. Lineage: Bacteria; Bacillati; Bacillota; Bacilli; Caryophanales; Staphylococcaceae. The record is from RNAcentral.